This 316-nucleotide ribosomal RNA is filed under the name uncultured eukaryote. RNAcentral's name for it is "partial 18S ribosomal RNA". It matches the Rfam family "Eukaryotic small subunit ribosomal RNA", at positions 1470 to 1795 of the family's 1831-position model. The record is from RNAcentral.
CCCUUAGAUGUUCUGGGCCGCACGCGCGCUACACUGAUCGGUGCAACAAGCAUCCGUCCUUGGCCGACAGGCCCGGGCAAUCUUUGAACGCCGGUCGUAAUGGGGAUAGACCUUUGCAAUUUUUGGUCUUCAACGAGGAAUUCCUAGUAAACGCAAGUCAUCAACUUGCAUUGAUUACGUCCCUGCCCUUUGUACACACCGCCCGUCGCACCUACCGAUUGAAUGGUCCGGUGAAACCUCCGGAUUGGCGCGUGCCCUCGGGCGCCGCCGAGAAGUUGGUUAAACCUUACCAUUUAGAGGAAGGUGAAGUCGUAAC